AGCAAUAACUCUGAACGUAAAUAGGAUCAGUUUUAGUUUCAUGUUUAUGUGAUCUGUACUUGUUGUCCAGUAGAUGGGGGUGAAAAUUAACUUUCAGUUUCGUUUCUGUCAUGUGCGCUAUCGCAAGCUUAUCAGUUGCCACAGCAGUAGUGAUAUGUUCACAUCUUGUUUCCAUGUAAUUUCAAACGCAGGACAUUCUCAUACUUAUUCUGUGUACAUGGGAUGGGAACAUUCAGUAAUAAUCUGUAAUGUUCUAGUGCAAAGACAGACGCCUUUGGUGCGAGAGACCCGGGUUCGAAUCCACUGUGAGACACCAAUGUGUCCCUGAGCAAGACACUUAACCCCUAGUUGCUUAAGAGGCGUGCGUCCUCUGAGAUAUAUAACAAUUGAUUUACACAAGCUUCAGUCUGGAUCCAGAACACCUGAGAAGAGAUGAGGCCAACCCCUCAGAGGACCUCAGAUGAUGCCAAACCUGAAACAACAUAUAGAACUACCCAAUUUUGCUAUAAGUUUGAUUACAUCAUAUAAUAAUUGUUGUUAAUAAUAGUGUUAAUAGUGUUCGUCUUCUGUUUGAUUACGCCUUUAUUUUUUCCCCCAGACAUUUCUGCUAUAUGUACAUUAACUGACAGUUACUACUGAUAAGCUACUUGUCACAGUGUCAUCUGUGCUAUGUUUACUGUUGUGUGCGCCAUGAGUGGACGUGUCUGAAUAGCGUAACGAACUAUCAGUUCCAGCUGUGGCUCAUUUGUGUCCCUAUAUCAUGUGUGCUUCCCCAUCUUGUAUUGUCAGAUCCUUGGCAUUUGUCCUCUCACUCCUGGUCGUCUUUUCCUCACACAACUACUAAAUAUUGUAGAAAAUUAGUUUCCUGAAAAGUUGCUUUGCAACAAUUUGUAUUUUGAAAAGCACUAUAUAAAUAAACUUGUAUUUAAUCUAAUUAAUGGCAUUUUGUAGAUAUAACGCUGAAGGAGAUAUUCAUGUAGGUCAGGUCUGAUCAGACUGUUGAUGAAUCAAAUCAAAAGGUCUAAAUAUGGUCAAGAAACCUACUUGUUGAUUUAUUAGAGAUUUGGUCGUGUUGUGAAUUCAGAAACAAAUGUUUGUUUGUCAUUGCAGCCUAGACAAUGAACUUGCAAUCUUCUACAACUGUCUUCAUCUGCUUCAUCGUGCAAUGUAAAAAUGAGUUCAAUAAGUCAGAAAUAUGAACAACUCAUUCAAAAGAGCAUGGUGCUCGUAGUCUCUAGGACUGUAUUCCAUCUUUUUGGUUUAAUAAGCAUGUAUGUAGCUUGUAUCUUUCGUCAGU
Long non-coding RNA from Carassius auratus (goldfish), 1297 nucleotides. RefSeq lists it as uncharacterized. Lineage: Eukaryota; Metazoa; Chordata; Actinopteri; Cypriniformes; Cyprinidae. The record is from RefSeq and is a predicted model, not a curated record. The transcript has 3 exons.